GGCGCCUAGUCCGGCGUCCCCCGCCCCGCAGCCGCUCGCGUUGAACUGUCGGGGACCAGAGGCAGCCAAAACGACUCACCCCCUAAAUGUAAGCUUUGGAAUGAGACGGACACGGUAGCGCCAUCCGUCUAGCACUCGCCGUGAGCAAGCCACACAGAAUCAGAGUUUUACUCAACCCCUUUACAGAUGAGGAAUUUAAAGCGCAGGAAGUGAGAAACUUGUCCUAAAUCACAAAAUUACAAAGGAUACUUCGUUUCUUCCAGUCCUGUUGGUUCAAAACUAAAAAACGUCGCAUUGAAAUACAAGUCUUAGACUUACGGAUCCUCGUAAGUACCCCUCUUUCUCCUCCUCUUUGACCCUCUGAAGAAUUGAGGAAGUGAUCGCCACUGCAGUGGACUUGACUUUACUAAAAGGUUUUUAUAGACCUCAAUUGACAUUAGAAAUAGGUUUCCUUUCUUCAGGGAGAAAAAGUGGAAAGAAAAUGGAAGAGAUAUGAAAGGGGGAAGAAUUUUUCUGUAACCGGGUGGUCUCCAGGAAAAAGGGAGGCUCCAGGUUCCCUGCCCCACCCAGGAGCAGGGUGGAGCUGAACUGAGCGGAGAAUCCAGACCUGAGACUGAAGAGGAUGGAAACAGGAUGGAGCCGGAAGGUGACCUGGGGAGGUACAUGCAGCAGAGACAUGUGAAGCAGCAGCUCAUGUUCCUUGGCCCUGGACUGGGUGAAAGAGACGUGGAAUACCAGGUUGGCAGAGACUGAAGGCACAGAAAUGCAGAUUUUCAGAGGGGCAUUUGGCGCUCCCUGGUGAUGCAGCGGGUUAAAGCACAGCACUAAG
Long non-coding RNA from Condylura cristata (star-nosed mole), 829 nucleotides. RefSeq lists it as uncharacterized. Lineage: Eukaryota; Metazoa; Chordata; Mammalia; Eulipotyphla; Talpidae. The record is from RefSeq and is a predicted model, not a curated record. The transcript is spliced from 3 exons.